This 253-nucleotide ribosomal RNA is filed under the name uncultured bacterium. RNAcentral's name for it is "partial 16S ribosomal RNA". It matches the Rfam family "Bacterial small subunit ribosomal RNA", at positions 524 to 776 of the family's 1533-position model. The record is from RNAcentral.
UACGGGGGGUGCAAGCGUUAUCCGGAUUCACUGGGGUUAAAGGGUGCGUAGGUGGCUUUGUAAGUCAGUGGUGAAAUGCCGGAGCUUAACUCCGGAACUGCCAUUGAUACUGCUUAGCUUGAAUCACGUCGAGGUGGAUGGAAUAUUACAUGUAGCGGUGAAAUGCUUAGAUAUGUAAUAGAACACCGAUUGCGAAGGCAGUUCACUAGGCGUGUAUUGACACUGAGGCACGAAAGCGUGGGGAUCAAACAGG